GCUAGUUGGAGGUGUAACGGACCACCAAGGCGACGAUCAGUAGGGGUUCUGAGAGGAAGGUCCCCCACACUGGCACUGAGAUACGGGCCAGACUCCUACGGGAGGCAGCAGUAGGGAAUAUUGGGCAAUGGACGAGAGUCUGACCCAGCCAUGCCGCGUGCAGGAAGACGGCGUUCUGCGUUGUAAACUGCUUUUAUCU
RNAcentral lists this ribosomal RNA (199 nucleotides) under uncultured bacterium. RNAcentral's name for it is "partial 16S ribosomal RNA". It matches the Rfam family "Bacterial small subunit ribosomal RNA", at positions 244 to 441 of the family's 1533-position model. The record is from RNAcentral.